RNAcentral lists this ribosomal RNA (255 nucleotides) under uncultured bacterium. RNAcentral describes it as "partial 16S ribosomal RNA". It matches the Rfam family "Bacterial small subunit ribosomal RNA", at positions 524 to 776 of the family's 1533-position model. The record is from RNAcentral.
GACGUAGGGCGCGAGCGUUGUCCGGAUUUAUUGGGCGUAAAGAGCUCGUAGGCGGUUUUGUCGCGUCUGCUGUGAAAACUGGAGGCUCAACCUCCAGCCUGCAGUGGGUACGGGCAAACUAGAGUGCGGUAGGGGAGAUUGGAAUUCCUGGUGUAGCGGUGGAAUGCGCAGAUAUCAGGAGGAACACCGAUGGCGAAGGCAGAUCUCUGGGCCGUAACUGACGCUGAGGAGCGAAAGCAUGGGGGAGCGAACAGG